Molecule: long non-coding RNA, 3319 nt
Organism: Triticum urartu
Lineage: Eukaryota; Viridiplantae; Streptophyta; Magnoliopsida; Poales; Poaceae
Source: RefSeq, a predicted model, not a curated record
AGGGUCAGAAUAGUGAUUUCGUCCUCUUCUUUGUCUUCUCGGAGCUCCUAGCCAUGGAAAUGGCUGAGCCAUCUUGGAUCCACCGCAUCUGAAGAUGACCCCUAAGCCCCCCCUCGGUUUUCAACCUCCUGGUCCUUGCCUGCACGCACCUCAUGGCUGGGACGGCGCUUGGUUUGGAUUCCCGCGUGCCUCGUCGAUCUCCCAGGCCGGUCAAUGGGAGCAGGGCCCUAAUAGCAGCUGCGUGAUGGAGGAUGCGAGGUCGUCGAAGUCGACGGUUCCUUCCCAGUAUGUAUCCAUGGAGGCGAUGAAGUAGUGGAUCUCGUUCCAUUAGCUCCUACGCGAUUUUGGGAUCUUGGGGGUGUUGUCCGUCCCCAAGCGUCGAGCCAUUGGCGUCAAUGCUGUCCCCAAGCGAGGCACUCCGACGCAUCCUCUUCGUCCUCAACAGCGACAGCCCGGCUUCGGCAUUGCAUUCUUCCACCUACAGAGUAGUACAUCAUAUCCAUGUACUUAUGGUUAUAUAAAAGGCUGUUAAAAUCCAUCUAGUUCAUGGCGAAGGAGAUGGCCUCUGCCCAGCGAACGUUCAAGUCCACACCCAUCUAGUUCAUAUGUAUACAAGUCGUGGCACAUGCUCUUUUUAAUAAUUUUUAUGCCUAAACAAAUCAUUUGUUUUGUAUUGAUCAGUGUAUACAUGCACUUUCCCUUAGUGCAUGGACAACUCUUUUGUAGUAAAUUCACAGACAUAAUUGAUGAUGGUACCUUAGACUACAAAAUUGAUAAUUUAUAAUUAGUUGAGUGAAAUCGGUUUUCGCUCUCCAUGCCUGAUGUCUUGAAGCACAGUAUGCGUAAAGCACUACCAAGAUUUGCUAUCUCGGCCAUUUAAGUCCUGCGGUACAGUGGAGAUUCCAAUAAUCCUAUAGUCCGUGGAUGCCUCAUAUUUGUAAUCAUUUAUUGAAUAUGAAUGUCAAAAGGUGAAAAUGCGUGUUAGAGAGGCGCACAUCUAUCAUAAGGACCUGGUGAUUUUCAAGAAUGAUUAUGCGGACCAGACAUGUUACGGAUCUACAUAACCAACUAAGUACACCUCCUUUUUGAUUCUAUUGUCAUUAUAAACAAAAGCCUCCUUUAUCAAUUCCUUGUGAUGCUAAAAAAAAUUAAGUUCAUAUGAGAAAGGAAGACGUAAUAUCAAUAGAAUUUGCAUAAUUAAAUACUAAGAUGAGCACAACUAAACACUCAUAGUCUCCAAAGUGGAUUUGUCUGGAUGCACACAUAAUAAGUUAAAUCCAUGUUCUCAUGAGCUCAAAAUAAACACAAUUGUAUGCCAACGCAAAUUACUACUCCCUCCGCUCACAAAUAUAAGAUGUUUUGGAUAUUUCAAUAUGGACUGAAAUGAGUGAACAAACACACUAAAGCGUGUCUAUAUACAUCCGAUUCACAAAAAAGUUAGAACAUCGUAUAUUUGUGAACGAAGGGAGUACGAAGUAUUUAGAGUAUCUAGAAUAUAUUUGUAUAAGUACAAUCAAGGGAAUUAAGUUUGUAGUUUAGCACUUGCUCUGCCUUGUUCUACCCUGUGUUCCUUCCAGGUGCUUUCCUAAUCAUCUUGUCUUCUGUUGAUUCUUUUCUCCUAUUUUUGCAUGCUGUCCUUUUUUCCGUUUUUCCUGUAGAUUUUGAAUCCCAUUCGUUCACUAAAAUUUGAAUGUCAGUAACAUAAUUUCCUUGCUAGGCUAGCUUUAAUAAAAAAAUAGUCGUGUUCAGAGAUGCAUAUGGGGCAUUGUAGCACCAAGGUGCUAGUGAAUGUCCGUUCUAACAUUUAAAAAUAUGAAUUUUGUUUCUUUGAUGGGAGUACCUCGUCAUUGAUACUGUCAAUGCUAUACUGGUCAUGUUUUUUGUCCUGUCCCGCCUGCAAGGUAAGAUACUAUACCAUGUCGUUUGGAUUAUAAAAUAGGACGGUUGCUUUUCUUAAAUUGGAAAUGUAAAGUUUUGACAUGUGUAAAGUGUUCUUUCAUGCACUCUUUUAAAGUAUUUUAACAUGUGUGAAGUUUCUUCAUAGUCUUCAUUUGAAUCAUCUUCUAAUGUAAUUACAUAUGGACAUACUUUCUUUUCGAAUAUAUUUGCCUGCAGUUUUUGGAAAUUCAUAAAACAACAACAAUUAUUUAACACAUGUAAAAGAUGAGAAGUGAAAUACCUGAUUAUUGAGAAGUUUGUUCUCUGUAAUCUUUUUUGCUUCAUUCAUGACUUUUGUUCCUUGGAUUUCCAUUAUGCUUUAUAAAGAACAUUCUCACAGUAUACUAUUGGUAAACUAUUUGAACUUGUUUUCCAAUAUGGAUCCUGCUGGAGGUGGCUUGAUUUCAUGCAGAAGAUGGUACCUGCUCGAGGUGGUGUUGUCGCUAGACGGAACUAAUGAUGUAGGUUGUGUCAUUGCUGGCUGAGGUUGAUCGGACAAUCCUCAAUGUAACGUACAAUGUUCUACAAGCACAAUAUUGGUAAGUGGAAGUAAAAGUAAGUGCCUUGCCUAAUUGAGCUUAAACUUGUUAGUUGGGCGGCAACCAAAUAUGAACUUAUAUAUGUGCUAUUAAUUAGAGCAAAGGGGUUUCAUGAAAAGGACAGGUGCAUAUGAACUUCUAGGUGUGCUACAAAGUAUUAUUAACUAAAGAACAGAACAUUUAUUGGUAAAAAAGAGGCGUGCAUGCAAAGAGUGAUAGUAUAGGUUUUAGAGAAUCGAUCUAAUACCUGCCUCAGCUUGGGUUGCCACUAAUGUUACAUUGUGCAACCACAAUUCCAAUGGAGAUGGUGGACGCUCUAGGGCAUCCCAGUUCUUUUUUUUCUGAUCUAUCAGGUCCAACACCUGCGGCUGCUCGUCAGGUCCAACAUCCGCGUCGAGGAGUCCUGCUUCGUUGUGAAGGGAGAAGUCGGUUUUCAGUCCCUCAUGAAGGCGAUGCAGUUCAUGGUGUACGUCUGUUCCAGGCCGGCGCUUUGUAGACAGAAUUUCAAAAUUCAGGACAUCUUGGAGGAGAACCGCUAGGGUUCUCUCAAGGAAGUUUAGGUGCAUCCGUGAAGCAAGAAUCUUCUUGAGCGAAUCUUGAAGGAGAUCUUUCUUUCUGGUAAAUAUCUACGCCAAAGAUAGCUCCCUAUGUAUUUGAUAGAACGGAUGUAAAUCUUUUGUAUGUCCAUCUGUACUGUAAUCUAGUAGUAAUGAAACAAUAGUUUCUCUCGGAUGCAUGUACUGCUUUCAUGUAAGGAUGCAUGUACUGCUUUCAUGUAAGAUUUAACAUCAUGUAAGAUUUAACAUCAGAUUGAAAAGAAAGAAAACUUGGUGCUUCAUCAA